UAAAAUCUAGAUAAUCAUUACAAGACUACCAAGCCCAAUUAUUGUGCUAUUAAUGUCCAAUUAUAUGACCAUAUUCUCGUUCUCACUCUGUCCAUACUCCUUUCUCCACAUCCCAUACUCUUUCCCUCUCUCUCGUACCACCAAUGCGCGUAUCCAACCCUGCGUCGGCCGCCCACUCCGGCUCUAUCCCCCCAGCUUCCAGUUCUCUCCUCCUCCUCCUCCAAUUAACAGUGCUGUGGUCUUCAUUCUUUUCAUCCUUCAUCCUCGUCUGCUCCAUUUCGCCUGCUUUGUUCAAAGCGACAGAAGGAAUGGAAGGCGCGUAUUUGGAUUUACGCCGGAGGUAGGAGCCAUAUCUGUGGAAUAGGAAUGGCAUGGGGGCGCAGACAAGGGAAAAGAAGGCGACCACUGUUUCGAUGCGUAAGUCCAACUAGUGGAUUUUGGACAAACGCACGUACAAGUUCCAGCCCAAUGUAAUCCCAAGGUCUCAUACAUCUGACUCGCAAACAGCGGGAAGAUCGCUCCAAAGAUGCAUCUACUCACCGCUUGGGCAGCGAGCGCACUUGCCGCGUACAGCUCAUAACUAUCAAUCAAGUAAUUCGUCAUGCUCGUAAAAAUCAGCAGAAAAGCGAGGCCGAAGGGGAGACAUGCGAUAAUUGGUACAAUCCAGUGGACGGGAGGGGCGGAAGUCCACGCGAACCAGAAGAGGCCGAUAGGGGCGAGGAUGGCGCCGAUACAGCACACGGGGAGACGAGCCUCCGGAGGAGGAUGAGUGUGAGUGUGACCGGAAGGGGUGACGUGGGAUUGCAGUUGAGAACGGGAGCGGGAAUAGAAGUGGGAGGAGAGGAAAGGGUUUAGAAUAACACCUGAGAUGAGGCCGACGCCCAUACCGAGGAAGGAAAGGCCAGAUUCACCGACUUGAGAGAGGUGAACUGUCAGCAAAUGUAAUAACUGAGAGAUAUGAUAUGAAGAAAGGGAGCUUACCAGUCCAUCCUCGAGUCUGUUGAAAGACAAUAGGGAAAGCGGUGAAGAAUAAGUAUAAUCUACAAGUCAUCAAUACCCUCCUUUUCUCUUCCGCCCUUCCCUUUCGAACAAACUCACAUGCCAUAAAUCAAUGCACCAUAGAUUGACAGGCAACCAACAAUGACUUCGGUGAACAACAUCUCAAAAGGCCGACAUAGCCCCACCAGGACGACCUCUCUCUUACUCUUCUUGACCGUGUCAUACUUCGCGAUAUAAUACUCCUCCUUGCCUUCUGAUAGAGCUGCAGCUUGUAGUGAACGGGCGCGGCGGCGGAGGAUGGUGGGGGCGUAUGUUUCGGGCACGACGAUGAUAGAGAGGAUGGUCAUGACGCUUUUUUUGGGAGGAUAAAGUAGAUAUAUGAAUUGGAUCCAAUAUACCCAUCUGUAGCCACAACGCUCAGUUACAUAUCCCCCGGCGAUGGGCCCUGUUGAUAUUCUGAUUAAUCUUCAGAUGGCAAGAGGACAGCAAGCAGGCGAAAACGUACCGAGCACAGGGCCUAAGAACGGUGCCAGUGCAAAGACACUAGUAGCCAAUGCUCUUUCAUUCCUAUAAUAGCCCACAUAUCACCAACUUGCGCACCGGCAUUAGUCAGAGGCGAACUCCCGAAAACCCCAGCAAAGAAUCUCGUCACUAGCAAUGCUACAGCGUUAUGGGAAAGGGCGGUACCAAGGUUGAAGACUGUGAAGAUGGGGUAGGAAGCGGCAAAGGCAAAUUGGCGACCAUAUAGUUCCGAGAUGGGGGCCCAGAUGAGGGGUCCAAGUCCGAAACCUGGUAAGAGUUUAAGAGUUGGUGAGAUGAGUAAAAGAGUGCUUGAGUGAUGGGUAACGGUUGACGGCUGGUAGGGAGGUAAGAAGGGGAGAAGGCUCACCUAGGAUGAAGAGAGAGAUCCCUGCUAUGGCUAGUUCCUUGCUAAUCCCGUAGGCUUCCACCACUUCUCCUACAGUUGUGGAAUAAGAUACACUCGCAAAAGGAGGACAAAGUGCUGUCACCCCUAUCAAAGCAGUAAUCGCCCAUCGGUAUCUUUUAGACCAGUUAUAGGGGUUGAGCGGUGAAGAUGGUAAGAAAUCGACGAUAUAUGGAUCAGACAAGGUGCCGGAGCCAGGAUACGCUGGUGGUGAUAGUAUAUCGGUGGAAGUGGAGAGCGGAGAGACAGGUUGGUCGAGGCGGGUGGGAAGUGAAAGAGGUGGUGUGGUGGGACUGUACUCCGACAUGUGGGUUUUGAGGAGCGUGAGCUUGCUUAAAUUGGGCGUAACACAGGCGGUGCGCGGAUUAGGGUCGUCUAUAGGAUUGGCAUCGUCUAAAGACGGUAGAGACGCAGUGAGGCUCAUUUGAUUUGAUAAGAGAGCCGGUUGGAGUGAAGAGGACAUGAUGUCUCGUAGUGCAAUUAUAUUAAUCCUGU
This 2419-nucleotide small RNA is filed under the name Cryptococcus neoformans H99. RNAcentral describes it as "Cryptococcus neoformans var. grubii H99 hypothetical RNA". The record is from RNAcentral. Lineage: Eukaryota; Fungi; Basidiomycota; Tremellomycetes; Tremellales; Cryptococcaceae.